RNAcentral lists this long non-coding RNA (1430 nucleotides) under Equus asinus (donkey). RNAcentral describes it as "lncRNA (ENSEASG00005025236.1)". The record is from RNAcentral. Lineage: Eukaryota; Metazoa; Chordata; Mammalia; Perissodactyla; Equidae.
UGCAAAUCUGGGGGCGGAUCUCAGCAAGCCGGCCAACAAAUCGGGGCAGGCGGCCUCGUGGGCGGCCGACUUGCGGAGACUCGGAGCGUUGGACGGCGCGCCUCUUCUGCGAUGGGUACCACCUUCUGUUGGCUGGGACGCCGAUCUCACAUUCUGUGCUGGAGACAAAAAGACGUGGCGAAGGCUUGGAGGUUAAUCUCCUGGAGCAGAGAAUGGAGGCAGCCAAGGAAGAUGCUGUUGAACCAGUUAGGAGGCUGUUGCAGCUAUCCCAGCAAGAUUUGAUGAUAAUGUGGACUUGAGAGGUGGCAGAGCAGUUGCCCAAAGCUGGAUGACUUUCAGAGCGCUGUUCUUGGAUUGAAGUGAGCGAAAGUAGUGCAGGACAAGCAUGACAUGGAAGGGAGAGAGAGUCUCAGCUGGGAGAGAAACAGCAGCAACUCCAAAUCGCCUUUUAUGAAAUCUUCCUGGCAAGAAUAUACUUCUAAUGUACCGGUUAAAAGGCGAGAAACCAGAUUGAACACACACACACACACACAAACACACCGUAUGCCCAGCAUUUUGGAUAUCAUGACAGGAGAGAGACUAGCUGAGAUAAAAAUUAAUAUAAUAUCUAGGAUUACUGAGCACUUCGGUGGAUACUACCAGGUUUUUUUUUACCCAGUAGCCAAUCUCCCAUUCACAGUACUAGAACUCUGCUGUAUGAGUAAAUGGAAAUACGCCCAGCUAAAAAAUGCCUUUAUUUCUGUAGUUCCCUUGCAACCAAGGGUGGUUGAUAUGACAAAUAAGCUAAGUCUGCUAGGGAUGACUUCUAGAAAAGCUAUUGAAUGUUGAUAAAAGAGACAUACUCACCAAACACGUGCCUUUUAACCUUCAAUCUCCUCCCUUCUUCCUGCCUGGAACUCAGGAGCGAUACUUGUAGAUGCCGCAGCCACCUUGUAACCAAAGAGCUGAAAGCCACACACUAAAUAAAGAUGGCAGAUCAGGAAAGUAAAAGGAGCCUGGUUCCUUGUGCAGCCAUUACUUUCUUUUUAUAGGUGAGGAAAUUGAGGCUCAGAGAUGUAAAUCAAAUUAUCCAUGGUCAGUUAGCUCUUAAGCAAUGUAGCUGGGAUUCAAAUCUAUGUCUGUAUGACUCCAAAGUCAUCUAUUUUCUGCUAUAGUACAAAACUUCCUAAAAGGGUAAACAUAUAUAGAACCCUUUCUCUCACAUUUACACAUCAUGAUAGACAAAGCAAAGUGUAAUGGGAAAAACAAAGUGUCCAUAUCUUUGACAGCAGAGCUACAAAUAUUACAUGUUCUCUUUGUUGACUACUAACAACUCCAGUCUGAUCAGCAAAAAUGACCACAGUUCUCUAUCACUUCAUCUUCUAUUCAUGCCAAUAACAAAGGCUUCAAACAGUGAUAAGCAACUUGUGUUGAGUGUCAUCAACAAGGAG